This 207-nucleotide ribosomal RNA is filed under the name uncultured bacterium. Its description in RNAcentral is "partial 16S ribosomal RNA". It matches the Rfam family "Bacterial small subunit ribosomal RNA", at positions 568 to 774 of the family's 1533-position model. The record is from RNAcentral.
UGCGCAGGCGGCCGUGUGUGUUAGGCGUGAAAGCCCGAGGCUCAACCUCGGAAUUGCACCUAAAACUACACGGCUAGAGUACUGGAGAGGGUAGCGGAAUUCACGGUGUAGCAGUGAAAUGCGUAGAUAUCGUGAGGAACACCAAUGGCGAAGGCAGCUACCUGGACAGUUACUGACGCUCAGGCACGAAAGCGUGGGGAGCAAAAG